AUACCAGGUGUAUGCGACUGUUUAUCAAAAACACAGCACUCUGCGAAAUCGUAAGAUGAAGUAUAGGUUGUGACGCCUGCCCGGUGCUGGAAGGUUAAUUGAAGGGGUUAGAGCAAGCGAAGCUCUGGAUCGAAGACCCAGUAAACGGCGGCCGUAACUAUAACGGUCCUAAGGUAG
Molecule: ribosomal RNA, 177 nt
Filed under: Francisella tularensis subsp. holarctica
Lineage: Bacteria; Pseudomonadati; Pseudomonadota; Gammaproteobacteria; Thiotrichales; Francisellaceae
Description: partial 23S ribosomal RNA
Rfam family: Bacterial large subunit ribosomal RNA
Source: RNAcentral